GGGUUGUGAGGUUAAGCGACUAAGCGUACACGGUGGAUGCCCUGGCAGUCAGAGGCGAUGAAGGACGUGCUAAUCUGCGAUAAGCGUCGGUAAGGUGAUAUGAACCGUUAUAACCGGCGAUUUCCGAAUGGGGAAACCCAGUGUGUUUCGACACACUAUCAUUAACUGAAUCCAUAGGUUAAUGAGGCGAACCGGGGGAACUGAAACAUCUAAGUACCCCGAGGAAAAGAAAUCAACCGAGAUUCCCCCAGUAGCGGCGAGCGAACGAGGAGCAGCCCAGAGCCUGAAUCAGU
This 293-nucleotide ribosomal RNA is filed under the name Escherichia coli. RNAcentral describes it as "partial 23S ribosomal RNA". It matches the Rfam family "Bacterial large subunit ribosomal RNA", at positions 1 to 285 of the family's 2925-position model. The record is from RNAcentral. Lineage: Bacteria; Pseudomonadati; Pseudomonadota; Gammaproteobacteria; Enterobacterales; Enterobacteriaceae.